AUCCAGAUGACGAGUCCCAAAUAGGACGAAAUGCGCCUCCUGAAU
This 45-nucleotide non-coding RNA is filed under the name Trichobilharzia regenti. The record is from RNAcentral. Lineage: Eukaryota; Metazoa; Platyhelminthes; Trematoda; Strigeidida; Schistosomatidae.